GCUAAACGCGAAGAACCUUACCAGGCCUUGACAUGCUGAGAACCUGCCAGAGAUGGCGGGGUGCCUUCGGGAACUCAGACACAGGUGCUGCAUGGCUGUCGUCAGCUCGUGUCGUGAGAUGUUGGGUUAAGUCCCGCAACGAGCGCAACCCUUGUCAUUAGUUGCUACGAAAGGGCACUCUAAUGAGACUGCCGGUGACAAACCGGAGGAAGGUGGGGAUGACGUCAAGUCCUCAUGGCCCUUAUGGCCAGGGCUACACACGUACUACAAUGGUCGGUACAGAGGGUUGCCAAACCGCAAGGUGGAGCCAAUCCCAGAAAGCCGAUCCCAGUCCGGAUCGGAGUCUGCAACUCGACUCCGUGAAGUCGGAAUCGCUAGUAAUCGCGGAUCAGCUAUGCCGCGGUGAAUACGUUCCCGGGUCUUGUACACACCG
RNAcentral lists this ribosomal RNA (433 nucleotides) under uncultured bacterium. RNAcentral's name for it is "bacterial SSU rRNA". It matches the Rfam family "Bacterial small subunit ribosomal RNA", at positions 954 to 1392 of the family's 1533-position model. The record is from RNAcentral.